RNAcentral lists this ribosomal RNA (407 nucleotides) under uncultured bacterium. Its description in RNAcentral is "partial 16S ribosomal RNA". It matches the Rfam family "Bacterial small subunit ribosomal RNA", at positions 28 to 526 of the family's 1533-position model. The record is from RNAcentral.
GACGAACGCUGGCGGCGUGCCUAAUACAUGCAAGUAGAACGCAGUUUCGAACGGGUGAGUAACGCGUUGGUAACUGCCCCAUAGCGGGGGAUAAGUAUUGGAUACGAUAGCUAAUACCGCAUCCUGUGAGAUGGACCUUCGCUGUAUUAGCUAGUUGGUGAGGUAAAGGCUCACCAAGGCGACGAUACAUAGCCGACCUGAGAGGGAGAUCGGCGGCGCUGGGACUGAGAGACGUCCCAGAAUGGUACGGGAGGCAGCAGUAGGGAGUAUUCGGCGAUGGACGGAAGGCUGAGCGAGCAAGGCCGCGUGAGUGAAGAAGGGUGUCGGAUCGUAAAGCUCUGUUGUUAGAGAAGCGGUAACUAGCCAGAAAGGGACGGCUAACUACGUGCCAGCAGCCGCGGUAAUAC